CCUUUACUGACGCUAAAGCUCGAAGGUGCGGGUAUCGAACAGGAUUAGAUACCCUGGUAGUCCGCACGGUAAACGAUGGAUGCCCGCUGUUUGCGAUAUACUGUGAGCGGCCAAGCGAAAGCGUUAAGCAUCCCACCUGGGGAGUACGCCGGCAACGGUGAAACUCAAAGGAAUUGACGGGGGCCCGCACAAGCGGAGGAACAUGUGGUUUAAUUCGAUGAUACGCGAGGAACCUUACCCGGGCUUGAACUGCAGCAGAACGAUUGAGAGAUCAUGAGGUCCUUCGGGACUGCUGUGGAGGUGCUGCAUGGUUGUCGUCAGCUCGUGCCGUGAGGUGUCGGCUUAAGUGCCAUAACGAGCGCAACCCCUCUCUUCAGUUGCCAUCAGGUUAUGCUGGGCACUCUGGAGACACUGCCACCGUAAGGUGUGAGGAAGGUGGGGAUGACGUCAAAUCAGCACGGCCCUUACGUCCGGGGCUACACACGUGUUACAAUGGGUGGUACAGAGCGUCGGCGGCCUGCAAAGUCCGUCCAAUCGCAAAAUCCAUCCUCAGUUCGGACUGGGGUCUGCAACCCGACCCCACGAAGCUGGAUUCGCUAG
RNAcentral lists this ribosomal RNA (600 nucleotides) under uncultured bacterium. RNAcentral describes it as "bacterial SSU rRNA". It matches the Rfam family "Bacterial small subunit ribosomal RNA", at positions 734 to 1338 of the family's 1533-position model. The record is from RNAcentral.